UAGGACACCACUUCCUUAGGGCCCAGAC
RNAcentral lists this non-coding RNA (28 nucleotides) under Homo sapiens (human). Lineage: Eukaryota; Metazoa; Chordata; Mammalia; Primates; Hominidae. The record is from RNAcentral.